Molecule: ribosomal RNA, 254 nt
Filed under: uncultured bacterium
Lineage: Bacteria
Description: partial 16S ribosomal RNA
Rfam family: Bacterial small subunit ribosomal RNA
Source: RNAcentral
UACGGGGGGAGCAAGCGUUGUUCGGAUUUACUGGGCGUAAAGGGCGCGUAGGCGGCCACCGCAAGUCGAUUGUGAAAUCUCCGGGCUUAACCCGGAAAGGUCAACCGAUACUGCGGGGCUAGAGUGCAGAAGGGGCAACUGGAAUUCUCGGUGUAGCGGUGAAAUGCGUAGAUAUCGAGAGGAACACCUGCGGCGAAGGCGGGUUGCUGGGCUGACACUGACGCUGAAGUGCGAAAGCCAGGGGAGCGAACGGG